ACAGGAAUUAUUGCCAUCACACUGGCGUUUUACAUAUGUCACGAAGUUCACCUAGCUGGUUUUAAAUACAACUUUUCUGACCUCAAGAGUCCUUUGCACUACUAUGGGAAUGCCACCAUGUCUUUGAUGAAUAAGAACGCGUAUCACAAUGUGACUGCAGAGCAGCUCUUUUUGAAGGACAUUAUAGAAAAAAACCUUGUAAUCAACUUGACUCAAGAUUGACUCUACAGACUCAGAAGAUGAUGCUAACAGUGAAUUACAAGAGAUUUUGCAGAAGGGUAAAAAUGGUGAGAACUGAAGAGUAAUGCCAUUGUUCUAACAGUGUCGCGGAGUUCACCUGGGCCUGAGAAUGACUCUUUUUUCACUACUGCCCCCUGUAGGGGAGGGACAUCCCUCUGAUAGAAAUGAGAUGCAAAGACCAUGUGAGUUACCUGCCCGGUCCCAGUAAGAAGAAAUCAACAUCUCAUGGAAGAAGUUUCAGUGUACACUCCUGCCUUUAGUCCAACAUACAAACCAUUACAAGAGGAUGCAAUUUAUCCCUGUUUUCUUUUUUAUAGUAUGAAAGAGAGAAUUCACACACACUAAAUCUUUCUAAAGGUAUAACAUGGUAAAGGAAUGAAAGGGUCUGCAUAAAAUAAUCUAGAAAAAAAAAAAAA
Molecule: small RNA, 656 nt
Filed under: Pongo abelii (Sumatran orangutan)
Lineage: Eukaryota; Metazoa; Chordata; Mammalia; Primates; Hominidae
Description: processed transcript
Source: RNAcentral